GUGAAGCUGGCUGGGCUUCUGGGCCAGGUGGGGACUUGGAGAACUUUUCUGUCUAGCUACAGGUUUGUAAACACACCAAUCAGCACUCUGUAAAAAUGCACCAAUCAGUGCUCUGUGUCUAGCUAAGUUUGUAAAUGCACCAAUCAGCACUCUGAAAAAUGGACCAAUCAUUGCUCUGUAAAAUGAACCAAUCAACAGUACAUGGGCGGGGCCAAAUAAGGGAAUGAAAGUCGACUACCCAAGCCAGCGGCCGCAACUUGCUCAGGUUUCUUUACACGCUGUGGGAGCUUUGUUCUUUUGCUCUACACAAUAAAUCUUGCUGCUGCUCACUCUUUGGGUCUGCACUACUUUUAUGAGCUGUAACACUCACCGCGAAGGUCUGUAGCUUCACUCCUGAAGUCAAACGAGACCACAAACCCACCCAAAGGAAGAAACUCCGGACACAUCUGAACAUCUGAAGGAACAAACUCUGGACACACCAUCCUUAAGAACUGUAACAUUCACUGCGAGGCUUCAUUCUUGAAGUAAGCUAGACCAAGAACCCACCAGAAGGAACCAAUUCCAGAUACACUAGUUCCUAGAUCCUGUUUCUCUGGAGAGGCCUAAUACAUAGACAAAGCCAAAUGACUUUUUCCCCUCUCUGAACUUUGAUGUUCUUUAAACAUUUCCAGCUGGUUCUUUUAAUAUUUCUUGAAUAUUUCCUGGGAUUUUUUUGGUAAAUACUGUAUUUCACCAGCUACUCCUUCAAGAACAUAGUUGUCAUAUACUUUAUUAUCCAUCAAGAUUAUCAGUGAACACGCAGUUCAUUUGUCAAAAUGACUCUAAAUUCAUGAUAUUCGGAUGAUCACACUCCACAAUACUGUCACCAGAGCCAAGUUAUUGGAGUUAUUACUUUUUAUGAUCAGCACAAUUGUGUUUCUAUUAAAGAAUUAUUAGUAUUAAAAGGGCCACAAUAGACUAUUUGCUACUGAAUGAUUGUUGGUUACUACUUAAUUUAAAAAAAAAAAAAAGUUUUUUAUAGCUACUUAACUCCAAGUUCCAUCUUUUCCAUUUCUAGAAGUACAUAAGCCUUUUCUUUAAAAUAACACAUUUUUCUGAAGUAGAACAUGAUUAUUGUUAAGAAAUAUAAAAAUGGCCUUUAAUCUCACCAUUUAAGAUGGAAAGCUUUUCAUUUUUUCUAUGAAUGUAUGUUUCAUAAAUUUAUAUGAGAGAAUAUAAAAUGUGUGAUAUUCUUGUUUUAUUCUUAAGUAAUAUUGGUCUAUUGGGCUAUAUUAUCAUAAGUUUUUAUUUUCUUGUUUUUUGUUUUGUUUUGUUUUGGUUUGGAGACAGAGUUUCACUCUUUUUGCCCAGUCUAGAGUGCAACAGCUCAAUCUCAGCUCACUGCAACCUCUGCCUCCCUCCUGCCUCCCUCCUGCCUCAGCCUCCCAUGUAGCUGGGAUUACAGGCGCCUACCACUAUGACUGACUAAUCUUUUGUAUUUUAGUAAAGACGGAGUUUCACCAUUUUGGCCAGUAUGAUCUUGAUCUCUUGACUUCGUGAUCCACCCGCCUCAGCCUCCCAAAGUGCUGGGAUUACAGGUGUGAGCCACCACGCCCAGCCUAUAAUAGGUUUUUCAAAAACGGGUAUUUGUGGCUAAAUAAUAGUUCUGGGUACAUUGAUUAAUACUAGCUUUUCACUAUUAUUAGAUAUAUAUGAUAUAUAGUAACAAAACAAAAUGAAUUUACUGUGCUUGCAUUGUUAUCAUUAUUGUGGAUUAAAUCCCUUUGGUAAAAAUUAUCAAACAUUAUUGCUGGCUUGUAAGGAAAUUAAGAAAACUCUUGAUAGUGUAUAUUUAUUUUGUGACUAGCCACUUUAAUUAGUGAUCCUAAUUAUUUUUUAUUUUCCAGUUGAUUCUCCCGUGCCUCAGGGAAAAAAAUAAAAUAAUUUACAAAGAAUAAUGUUUUAUAAACUUGUUUCAAUUCCUGUGCUACUUUUAUGUUUUUUGUUUUAUUGUGCUGGUUAAAGUUUAUGAGAUAUUAUAAUAAGAGAGGGUGUCCUUGAAAUGAUCUGAAGUUUGAGGAAAUGCUUGCCAUAUAAUGCAUUUCUUCAUCCUUGAAUCUUUUUUAUUUUCUGGUGGAAUAUUAAACCCUUAUAUGUAUUAUUAUUUUUAAUCCAAAGAAAAUAUACCUUGUUUCUUGGAUGACUGACUCUGUUUCCUGAGGGAAUUGUUUCACAUCCACCCUCACCCCCACCGUUUGAAGAUCUAUCAUCCCUUCUUUUUUGGUUCACCUUUUCUUGCACACAUAUCUAUGAUUCGCCUUUGAGUUUUUACCUCUGUGGUUUUUGUCUGUAUUUUAGAAGUUCCUUAUAUAUUCCACUUCAUAAUUUUAAACAGAAUUCACUUUGCUUAAUCUUGUGUCCUCAACAUCCAGAAUAGGGCCUGUUGUACAUCAGAGUCAAGCUCUAUGUGUUCAGUGUUAUUGGUGCCCUCUGUCAUAUGCAAUGGAGUCUCUCACUCCCACAGCUUAGGAUUCCUGCAAAUUUUACUUCAUCUUAACCAGCUUCAUUUUCUUCCAUUUCCAUUUAUUUUGCUAUAGUUGAGGCAGACGUUUUUGACAUGUUUACCUCAUCUUUCUUUUCUCAUUAUGGCUGACUUUCUUCACUUCAUGUGAAGAAAGGAAGGUAGGAAGUAGCGGUCAAAGUUUUCUUAUAGUUCCUGCACCAUCCUAAAAGGUAAGUGGAAGAACACAAAGUUGAUGUUCUCGUUUCCCUUUCAAAGGUCCCAUGUUUAUUUAUUUCAUUCAUAGGCCCCAUAUUUGGUAAAUGAAAGGGGUAUGGCAUGCCUUUUACCUUACUCAGUGUAUCUUUUUAGGUUAACCACUGGCAGGAGAAAUGGAGCGUGGCAGAUUAAUGUAGCAACCAGCUCAGUUGGCAGUUUUGCUGUGCCUCUGUUAAACUGAGUGUAUCUUUUCUACUAUCCUCAUUAUUUGUUUUUUGGAUUCUCUGAACUAUGGCAUCCUUGAUCAUCUUUAAUUCAUACAAUGCGGGCUCUCAGUAGUUUGGCCUUCUUGUUUCAGACCACCACACAUUACUGGUGGAAACGACACCUUAGACUGGAUGCAAUCACCACUGGCUAACUUCAUUUCUGACCUUUGUUUCCAGAAAUUUGCCAUGUCCACAUGGAUUUAAAAAUUACAGGAGAUAGAUGCAGCACAUAAUCACUGCUCUGGCCAUUCCAAAAGCAUGCUAUAGGAAGUGGCAGCAUUUGGUUGGUAUCAAAGCUGGGACUCUGGGACUGAAAGUAUGCAAUGGUAAAGAAACAAAAUUAAUACCAUUUUUGAGGCUGACAGUGCCAUUAUAUUUCAUAAAAUGAAACAUGAAUGUAUUUUCUAUAUUCAGGCCCAUGACUUUAUGGUUAAGGUAAAUACUCCAAAGAUUCUGAUUAUAAUAUUUCCGUAAGGUAUAGUUUUUGAUGUUCUGUAAGUUGGUAAGUUUUUGAAAAGUUUAUUAGAUAUUUAAGCAGGGAGUCUACAAGGCUGUAUGGAAGGGGCUAUUUAAACCAGAAGCCUGCACUUCUGUUCAUUUUCACUCACUCAUUCCUUUUAAACUUAUUUUUCUAAUUACCCAAGUUAAAAAAAAAAAACAAAUAUGGUACAAUGUGAGAAACGUAUAAACUAGAACAUUAAAGUUUCUAAAUUUCUCAUUCUCUAGGGUGACCAUUGUUAAUUUGGUAUCUCCCUUGACAGAUUUUUAUUUCUGUGCAUGCACAGCAACAUUUUCCAAAGUGAAAUAGGAGUACCAGACCAGACACAUUCCAAGGAAUUAUGCAAAAAAAAAAAAAAAAA
RNAcentral lists this long non-coding RNA (3824 nucleotides) under Macaca mulatta (Rhesus monkey). RNAcentral's name for it is "lncRNA (ENSMMUG00000059571.1)". The record is from RNAcentral. Lineage: Eukaryota; Metazoa; Chordata; Mammalia; Primates; Cercopithecidae.